CAAUAGCGUAUAUUAAAGUUGUUGCAGUUAAAAAGCUCGUAGUUGGAUUUGUGGCUGUCACGGGCGGCCUAUCACUUAGUGUUAGUGCUUGCCUGUGUCGCCCUCCUUGGGUGGAGCCCGUGUGGCAUUAGGUUGUCGUGCGGGGGAUGCCCAUCGUUUACUGUGAGAAAAUUAGAGUGUUCAAAGCAGGCUUAUGCCAUUGAAUAUGUUAGCAUGGAAUAAUAAGAUAGGACCUCGGUACUAUUUUGUUGGUUUGCGCACCGAGGUAAUGAUUAAUAGGGACAGUUGGGGGUAUUCGUAUUUCAUUGUCAGAGGUGAAAUUCUUGGAUUUCUGAAAGACGAACUACUGCGAAAGCAUUUACCAAGGAUGUUUUCAUUAA
RNAcentral lists this ribosomal RNA (380 nucleotides) under uncultured eukaryote. Its description in RNAcentral is "partial 18S ribosomal RNA". It matches the Rfam family "Eukaryotic small subunit ribosomal RNA", at positions 592 to 976 of the family's 1831-position model. The record is from RNAcentral.